RNAcentral lists this ribosomal RNA (515 nucleotides) under uncultured Planctomycetota bacterium. RNAcentral's name for it is "bacterial SSU rRNA". It matches the Rfam family "Bacterial small subunit ribosomal RNA", at positions 117 to 643 of the family's 1533-position model. Lineage: Bacteria; Pseudomonadati; Planctomycetota. The record is from RNAcentral.
GUAGAUUACGUACCCCUAGGACUGGAGUAGCUGCGGGAAACUGCAGGUAAUGCCAGAUAAUAUCUUCGGAUCAAAGGUGUGAUUCCGCCUAGGGAGCGGUCUACGUCCUAUUAGUUAGUUGGUGGGGUAAUGGCCUACCAAGACUUUGAUGGGUGGCGGGUGUGAGAGCACGACCCGCGUCACUGGGACUGAGACACUGCCCAGACACCUACGGGUGGCUGCAGUCGAGAAUCUUCGGCAAUGGGCGAAAGCCUGACCGAGCGACGCCGCGUGCGGGGAUGAAGGCCUUCGGGUUGUAAACCGCUGUCAAUGGGGAGGAAGGCUGCGUGAAGAGCGCAGUUUGACCUAUCUUUGGAGGAAGGACGGGCUAAGUUCGUGCCAGCAGCCGCGGUAAGACGAACCGUCCAAACGUUAUUCGGAAUUACUGGGCUUAAAGGGUGCGUAGGCGGGCGCUACAAGUCGGGUGUGAAAUCCCUCAGCUUAACUGAGGAANUGCGCCCGAAACUGUAGUGCUG